GCCGCUGUAGCUCAGCUGGUAGAGCGGCGCUUUCGUAAAGCGUAGGCCACCGGUUCAAAUCCGGUCAGCGGCUCCA
This 76-nucleotide transfer RNA is filed under the name Candidatus Saccharibacteria bacterium RIFCSPHIGHO2_01_FULL_45_15. Its description in RNAcentral is "tRNA-Thr". It matches the Rfam family "tRNA". Rfam says of the family: Transfer RNA (tRNA) molecules are approximately 80 nucleotides in length. Their secondary structure includes four short double-helical elements and three loops (D, anti-codon, and T loops). Lineage: Bacteria; Candidatus Saccharimonadota. RNAcentral also lists the same sequence under 4 other names. The record is from RNAcentral.